AUGAAAGCCAGGAAGUGGGGGGGUACAGUCACUCCCGAGGUGCCUUCCAAGAGGCCCCGGGGGUGGGGAAUGAGAGGAAGUGCGGCGUCCCUGGGCCUGGGUCCCUGCUGGAGAGUGGGGGCCCACGGGAAGGGGGCUCCUGGGGAGGGGGUGCACAAGGGGGCCAGAAGGCGGGGAGCCCACCCGACAUGGGGCUCUGGGCUGCAGGCGCUGUGUGGGCACUGUCCCUGCAGAGGGCCCCGAGGCCUGGCAGGCGGGCGGGUGGGGUGGGGGCCCUGCCCCAGCAUCCCGCCGUUAUCUGCAGUCAGUCAGAGACCUAAGCUAUGUCUUAGGAGCUGGGGAGACAGUGGGCUGCAGCCCUGGGGAGGACUCGUCGGCCCUAGAAGAGGAAAACCAGCCGCUGACGGAGAGACUGUGGCCAGAUGGGUUUCCGCUCCGUCCUGGCGGCCCUGGGCGGCUGGGCCUCACCUGGAGCUGCUGGGGGGGGUCUGGGAUGCAUCCCUGGGGGCCUGGGGCCUGCUCGCUGCAGCUAUAACUCAUCGGCACAGACCAGGAACUGAGCAGAACCCGCGGCAGUCCCCAGGGCCCUUCCCAGCCCCGGCCCCAGCCCCCUCGGUCCUGCCGCCUCUGCCUGCUGUAACCUGGCGUCCCCCGUCUCUCAUUCCCUCUUGCAAAGUAAACAGACCUCCCACAUGGCAACACACGAACAUCGCAGAAGAUGGGGGGCUCGUGGGGGGUGGGGGAAGCACUGGGGGCUCUCGCUUGCUCCCUCUGUCCACAGACUUCCCCCACGACCUGGUGCCCUGCGUGCUCCCUGCAGGACUGUCCCCACGGGAAGGGACACCCAGACCCUUCAGGUCAAGCGUGCAGCCCCGUGAGAGGUGUCCAGCCAAGGUGGGCCCGCUGGUGUUUGUUCACAGUGUGGGAGACCCUCUCUGGUGCCCAUGCAGAGAUCUGGAGCUCCUCUCCUGCUAUGCAGGACAAGGGGACACUGAGUCACAGCCAAGACAACCAUGGGGCCAGUCUUAG
Molecule: long non-coding RNA, 1029 nt
Filed under: Ursus thibetanus thibetanus
Lineage: Eukaryota; Metazoa; Chordata; Mammalia; Carnivora; Ursidae
Description: lncRNA (ENSUTTG00000003184.1)
Source: RNAcentral